This 454-nucleotide ribosomal RNA is filed under the name uncultured bacterium. RNAcentral describes it as "bacterial SSU rRNA". It matches the Rfam family "Bacterial small subunit ribosomal RNA", at positions 29 to 526 of the family's 1533-position model. The record is from RNAcentral.
AACGAACGCUGGCGGCAGGCUUAACACAUGCAAGUCGAACGGGCGUCGCAAGACGUCAGUGGCAGACGGGUGAGUAACGCGUGGGAACAUACCCUCCGGUUCGGAAUAACUCAGGGAAACUUGAGCUAAUACCGGAUACGGCUUAGCGGCGAAAGAUUUAUCGCCGGAGGAUUGGCCCGCGUCCGAUUAGCUAGUUGGUGUGGUAAUGGCGCACCAAGGCGACGAUCGGUAGCUGGUCUGAGAGGAUGAUCAGCCACAUUGGGACUGAGACACGGCCCAAACUCCUACGGGAGGCAGCAGUGGGGAAUAUUGGACAAUGGGCGCAAGCCUGAUCCAGCCAUGCCGCGUGAGUGAUGACGGCCUUAGGGUUGUAAAGCUCUUUCGCCAGGGACGAUAAUGACGGUACCUGGAUAAGAAGCCCCGGCUAACUUCGUGCCAGCCGCCGCCGUAAAAC